This 305-nucleotide ribosomal RNA is filed under the name uncultured bacterium. RNAcentral's name for it is "bacterial SSU rRNA". It matches the Rfam family "Bacterial small subunit ribosomal RNA", at positions 334 to 637 of the family's 1533-position model. The record is from RNAcentral.
UAGGCCUAGGGAGGCAGCAGUGAGGAAUAUUGGUCAAUGGGCGGGAGCCUGAACCAGCCAAGUCGCGUGAGGGAAGACGGUCCUAUGGAUUGUAAACCUCUUUAGGCGGGGAGCAAUGCCGGGCACGCGUGUCCGGAGGGAGAGUAUCCGCAGAAUAAGCAUCGGCUAACUCCGUGCCAGCAGCCGCGGUAAUACGGAGGAUGCGAGCGUUAUCCGGAUUUAUUGGGUUUAAAGGGUGCGUAGGCGGAUUUUUAAGUCAGCGGUAAAAUGUCCGGGCUCAACCCCGUCCGGCCGUUGAAACUGGG